This 238-nucleotide unclassified non-coding RNA is filed under the name Hevea brasiliensis (rubber tree). Lineage: Eukaryota; Viridiplantae; Streptophyta; Magnoliopsida; Malpighiales; Euphorbiaceae. The record is from RNAcentral.
CGUGCAUCUCGCCUUGCAGGGGCUGGGUCUGGUGUUCUUCGGCCCUGAAGGCCUCCGCGCGCCGGCGAUUGCCACCGCCGCCUUUACCAUCGGCCCGCUGCGGGUGCAUCGCCAUCUACGCCAUCACCAUCCUCCUGAUCGUCGGGCUGUGGCUGCUGUUCGGCUACACGCUUUACGGCAAGGCGCUGCGUGCCACCGCGGUCAAUCGCCUCGGCGCCCGCAUCGUCGGCAUCCGCAC